CACAAUUUGUUCCAUACCAAGGGAGUUGUGAAGGAACGUUCUGUGCGCGUCAUCAUAGACGGAGGGAGCUGCAACAACUUGGCUAGCAUGGAGAUGGUGGAGAAGCUUUCUCUCACCACAAGACCACAUCCACAUCCUUACUACAUCCAAUGGUUCAACAACAGCGGCAAGGUUAAGGUAACACGUACUGUUCGUGUGCAUUUUAGUAUCUCUACAUAUGCUGAUUAUGUUGAUUGUGAUGUGGUACCUAUGCAAGCAUGUUCCUUAUUACUUGGUAGACCAUGGCAAUUUGAUAAAAACUCUGUACACCAUGGUAGAAACAAUCACUAUACUCUUGUUCAUAAGGAUAAAAAUAUUACUUUGCUUCCUAUGACUCCUGAUUCCAUUUUGAAAGAUGAUAUUAACAGAGCUAAUAAAGCACAGCAGGAGAAGAAUAAGAGUGAAAAUCAGAUUGUGGCAAAAGAAUUUGAGCAACAAAUGAAGCCUAAUAAUAAGCCAUCUAGUGUUGCUUCUGAAAUUAAAUUGAAAAGUGCAUGUUUAUUUGCCACCAAAUCUGAUAUUGAUGAGCUAGAUUUCAGCAAAUCUGUUUGCUAUGCUUUUGUGUGCAAAGAGGCAUUAUUUUCAUUCGAGGACGUGCCUUCCUCUUUGCCUCCUGCUGUCACUAACAUUUUGCAGGAGUUCGCUGACGUUUUUCCACAAGACGUGCCACCGGGAUUACCGCCUAUUCGAGGGAUUGAGCAUCAGAUUGACUUAAUUCCCGGUGCUUCACUGCCAAACCAUGCACCAUACCGUACCAAUCCAGAGGAGACGAAGGAGAUUAUGCGUCAAGUACAAGAGCUUCUCGACAAAGGUUAUAUACGCGAAUCCCUUAGUCCUUGUGCUGUUCCUAUUAUUCUAGUGCCGAAAAAGGAUGGUACAUCACGUAUGUGUGUUGAUUGUAGAGGCAUUAAUAAUAUUACUAUUCAUUAUCGUCAUCCUAUUCCUAGGCUAGAUGAUAUGCUUGAUGAAUUGAGUGGCUCUACAAUAUUCUCCAAAGUUGAUUUGCGUAGUGGCUACCAUCAAAUUCGUAUGAAAUUGGGAGAUGAAUGGAAAACAGCAUUUAAGACUAAGUUUGGAUUAUAUGAGUGGUUAGUCAUGCCUUUUGGAUUAACUAAUGCACCUAGUACUUUCAUGAGAUUAAUGAACGAAGUUUUACGUGCUUUCAUUGGACGAUUUGUGGUAGUUUACUUUGAUGACAUAUUGAUUUAUAGCAGAUCUUUGGAGGAACAUUUGGAACAUUUACGUGCUGUUUUUAUUGCUCUACGUGAUGCACGUUUGUUUGGUAACCUUGGGAAGUGCACCUUUUGCACCGACCGAGUAUCUUUUCUUGGCUAUGUUGUUACUCCACAGGGAAUUGAAGUUGAUAAAGCCAAGAUUGAAGCUAUUGAGAGUUGGCCGCAGCCCAAAACGGUCACACAAGUGAGGAGUUUUCUUGGCCUCGCUGGAUUCUAUAGGCGUUUUGUGAGAGAUUUCAGCACCAUUGCUGCACCUCUCAAUGAGCUUACAAAGAAAGAUGUGCCUUUUCUUUGGGGUACCGCACAGGAAGAAGUCUUCACGGUAUUGAAAGAUAAGUUGACACAUGCUCCUUUACUCCAACUUCCUGAUUUUAAUAAGACUUUUGAGCUUGAAUGUGAUGCUAGUGGAAUUGGAUUAGGAGGUGUGUUAUUACAAGAUGGCAAACCUGUUGCUUACUUUUCUGAAAAAUUGAGUGGGCCUAGUCUGAAUUAUUCUACUUAUGAUAAAGAAUUAUAUGCUCUUGUUCGGACUUUAGAAACAUGGCAACAUUAUUUAUGGCCCAAAGAAUUUGUUAUACAUUCUGAUCAUGAAUCUUUGAAACAUAUUAAAAGUCAAGCUAAACUGAAUCGUAGACAUGCUAAAUGGGUGGAAUUCAUUGAGACUUUCCCUUAUGUCAUUAAACACAAGAAGGGAAAAGAAAAUGUUAUUGCUGAUGCAUUGUCUCGUCGCUAUACUAUGCUUUCACAACUUGACUUCAAAAUAUUUGGUUUGGAGACCAUCAAAGAUCAAUAUGUGCAUGAUGAUGAUUUUAAAGAUGUAAUGCAUAAUUGUAAAGAAGGAAGAAUGUGGAACAAGUUUGUUGUUAACGAUGGAUUUGUGUUUCGUGCUAACAAGCUAUGCAUUCCAGCUAGCUCCGUUCGUCUUUUGUUGUUGCAGGAGGCGCAUGGAGGAGGAUUAAUGGGACACUUUGGCGUGAAGAAGACGGAGGACGUACUUGCUACACAUUUCUUUUGGCCAAAGAUGAGACGGGAUGUUGAGCGUUUUAUUGCUCGCUGCACUACAUGUCAAAAAGCUAAGUCACGCCUCAAUCCUCAUGGUUUAUAUAUGCCUUUGCCUGUACCUAGUGUUCCUUGGGAGGAUAUAUCUAUGGACUUUGUUUUAGGUUUACCUCGUACAAAGAAGGGGAGGGAUAGCAUAUUUGUUGUCGUGGAUAGAUUCUCGAAAAUGACACACUUUAUACCAUGUCAUAAAAGCGAUGAUGCUGUUAAUGUUGCUGAUUUGUAUCGUGAUACUAAAUUUCUUAGCCACUUUUGGAGAUGUUUAUGGGCUAAGUUGGGGACUAAACUGCUUUUUAGUACUACUUGUCACCCCCAAACUGAUGGACAAACUGAAGUAGUCAAUAGAACGUUGUCUACUAUGCUUAGGGCUGUUUUGAAGAAUAAUAAGAAAAUGUGGGAGGAAUGCUUGCCUCAUAUUGAAUUUGCUUAUAAUCGUUCAUUGCAUUCUACUACUAAGAUGUGCCCUUUUGAAGUUGUGUAUGGUUUCCUACCUCGUGCACCUAUUGAUUUGUUGCCUCUUCCAUCUUCGGAGAAGGUUAAUUUUGAUGCUAAAAAACAUGCUGAAUUGAUUUUAAAAAUGCAUGAGUUAACUAAGGAAAACAUUGAGCGUAUGAAUGCUAAAUAUAAACUUGCUGGAGAUAAGGGUAGAAAACAUGUUGUGUUUGCACCUGGAGAUCUUGUUUGGUUACAUUUGCGUAAGGAUAGAUUUCCUGAUUUGCGCAAAUCAAAGCUAAUGCCACGUGCUGAUGGUCCCUUUAAGGUGUUAGAGAAAAUAAAUGAUAAUGCAUAUAAACUUGAGCUGCCUGCAGAUUUUAGGGUUAGUCCCACUUUUAACAUUGCAGAUUUGAAGCCUUAUUUGGGUGAGGAAGAUGAACUUCCGUCGAGGACGACUUCAUUUCAAGAAGGGGAGGAUGAUGAGGACAUCAAUACAAUUGUUACACCCACAGCCCCUGCUGCUAUACAUACUGGACCAAUUACUAGAGCUCGUGCACGAAACAGACCCUCGUGGUCAGGUUGUGAUGAGGACAUCAAUACAAUUGUUACACCCACAGCCCCUGCUGCUAUACAUACUGGACCAAUUACUAGAGCUCGUGCACACCAACUAAAUUACCAGGAAACAGACCCUCGUGGUCAGGUUGAUCGUGCUCCGCCACUACGCAAAUCAACUUUGGAGAAUAUUGUAGAGCCACUUAAUUCAUCAAGCAUAUCA
RNAcentral lists this ribosomal RNA (3543 nucleotides) under Triticum aestivum (bread wheat). RNAcentral describes it as "partial small subunit ribosomal RNA". Lineage: Eukaryota; Viridiplantae; Streptophyta; Magnoliopsida; Poales; Poaceae. The record is from RNAcentral.